This 503-nucleotide ribosomal RNA is filed under the name uncultured bacterium. RNAcentral describes it as "bacterial SSU rRNA". It matches the Rfam family "Bacterial small subunit ribosomal RNA", at positions 774 to 1269 of the family's 1533-position model. The record is from RNAcentral.
AGGAAAUAGAUACCCGGGUAGUCCACGCCGUAAACGAUGGGUACUAGGUGUCUGGGGGAGCGACCCCCUGGGUGCCGGCGCUAAACGCAUGAAAGUACCCCGCCUGGGGAGUACGGCCGCAAGGCUGAACUACAAAGGAAUUGGACGGGGCCCGCACAAGCGGUGGAGCAUGUGGUUUAAUUCGACGCAACGCGAAGAACCUUACCUAGGCUUGACAUGCUGGAGAAAGCUUGCGGAAACGUGAGCCCCUCUUCGGAGUUCCAGCACAGAUGCUGCAUGGCUGUCGUCAGCUCGUGUCGUGAGAUGUUGGGUUAAGUCCCGCAACGAGCGCAACCCUCACUCUUAGUUACCAGCGGGUAAUGCCGGGGACUCUAGGGGGACUGCCGGUGCCGAAACCGGAGGAAGGUGGGGAUGACGUCAAGUCAUCAUGGCUCUUACGUCUAGGGCUACACACGUGCUACAAGUGGGCCAGACAGAGGGUCGCCAACUCGCGAGAGUGAGCC